Molecule: ribosomal RNA, 3001 nt
Filed under: Microgenomates group bacterium
Lineage: Bacteria
Description: 23S ribosomal RNA
Rfam family: Bacterial large subunit ribosomal RNA
Source: RNAcentral
GAGAUGGGAGAAUAAAGCUAAAGGUGAAUGCCUUGGCAAUUUGAGCCGAAGAAGGACGUGUGUUUAAGCACGAUAUCAACGAUGAGCCCUUAAACAGGCGUUUAAUCGUUGGUUUCCGAAUGGGGUAACCCCAGUGGUGGUAACACCACUGAUCAGUACUUUAGUACUGAGGGGAACUCGGAGAACUGAAACAUCUCAGUAUCCGAAGGAAAAGAAAUCAAUGUCGUCAAAAGACGAUCGGCCUCUGGCCGAAGAUGUCCUUAGUAGCGGCGAGCGAAAAGGACAAAGCCUAAACCCCGACCUUGCGUCGGGGAGUUGUAGGGCAGAAAAUAUGGGAUUGAUUAAGGGUAUAAGAAUGAUCUGGAAAGGUCAGCCAUAGAAAGUGAUAGCCUUGUAUUUUAAACCCAAAAUCACCCUAUUCUGUUCCUAAGUACCACGAGGCACGGCAACCUUGUGGGAAGCUGGGUCGGUCACGAUCCAAGGCUAAAUACUCAAAUUGACCGAUAGCGAACUAGUACCGUGAGGGAAAGGUGAAAAGUCCCCCAGCGAGGGGAGUGAAAUAGAACCUGAAACCUUUAGCUAACAAACAGCGAGAGUCUGGUACCAUCUGGUGCCUGAUGAUCGCGUGCCUAUUGAAGAAUGAGUCAGCGAGUUUCCGCUACUUUAUUUAUCUAACCACCCACGGUGGGGAGGUAUAGGGAAACCGAGUCCUAAUAGGGCGUGUUAAUAGCAAUAUUAACUAAUAAAGAGCGGAAGACCCGAAACCGGGUGAGCUAACCAUGAGCAGGGUGAACUUUCCAACUUGGAGAGGGAGGCCCGAACUCGUUGCCGGUGAAACGGCAUGAGACGACUUGUGGUUAGGGGUAAUAUGCCUAUCGAACCCGGAGAUAGCUGGUUCUCCUCGAGAUAUAUUUAGGUAUAGCCUUCGGUAAAACUUUAUGGGCUAGAGCGACUAGAUAGUUCCGAAAGCCUUUGGCGAUCGGAACUAACUAAACUCCGAAUACAUAAAGUCAAUUGCCGAGGAGUCAGUCCCGCCGGGAUAAGCUGGUGUGGGCGAGAGGGAAACAUCCCAGAUUCCCGUCUAAGGUUCCUAAAUGAUUAUUAAGUGAAAAGGUCGUUAAUUUUCCAACACAGCAGGGAGGUUGGCUCAGAAGCAGCCACCCUUUAAAGAGUGCGUAACAGCUCACCUGAAUAUUCAGAGACUAUUUGGUUUCUGAUGGAAGAUUGGCGCCUAAAAUGAUCGGAACUAAAUAAUCUACCGAAGACGGAAGGAGGUACCGUCUGGUACCUCCGGUAGAGGAGCUUUCCUGUUGCGAUGAAGUUCAGAUGCGAAUCUGGAUGGAGCGGCAGGAAGUGAGAAUGCUGACAUGAGUAGUGUUUCUUCCGAUGAAAACUCGGAAUGCUGCAUACCCAAGGUUUCCUCAGCAACGUCAAUCGACUGAGGGUUAGUCGGAGCUAAGGGAGUUACCGAAUGGUACCUCCCGAUGUUCAAACUGUUAAUAUUCAGUUACUGUAUAUUUGGCGUUAUUACUGAAGAACUGACGAAGCGUGAUAAUCCCGCCCUACUAUACGUGGGGCUAAGCAACAAAUUUUUUCGCUUGUCGAAAAAAUGAGUUGUAAAUGCGAUCCUGCCUUGUGGCGGGAAAGCGGGAUAAUUUAUGCUUCCGAGAAAAAGUUUUUCAGGAGUCAAAUAUACAACCGUACCGAUAACCGACUCAGGUGGGUUGGUGGAGAACACUGAAGCAUACGGGUAAGGGUGGUUCAAGGAAUUCGGCAAAAAAGCUGAGCGUAAGUUUUCGAGAAGCUCUCUCCGACCUUGCGUCGGAGUUCAACAAAAGUUUGUCAAUCGACUGUUUAACUAAAACACAGGCUCCUGCUAACCUGAAUAAGGACGGUAUAGGAGCUGAGGCCUGUCCGGUACUGGUAAGUUAACCACUGAGGCUGACCCGCCAAAUCGGAGGGAAGGUUUCGGUGUAAGCUCCAGUGAACGACAGCUCUAACCCUGAGAGUUCUAAGGUAGCGUAACCCCUUGCCGGGUAAGUUCCGGCCCGCAUGAAAGGUCUAACGAAUUGACAACUGUCUUGAACCGCUGCCCGACGAAAUUGAAAUGGCUGUGAAGAUGCGGCCUACUUGCACCUGGACAAAAAGACCCCGGAAGCUUUACUGAAACUAGACAUUGGUGGAAGAUGAUGGACUGUUGAGCGUAGGAGGGAGUCCCGACGUUACGUCGGGGCACCAAUGAAACACCUCUCUUCGAUCAUUUUUCAUCUUACCCCGUCUUUGACGAGGAACAGUGUUUGGUGGUCAGUUUAACUGGGGCGGUUUCCUCCAAAAGCGUAACGGAGGAGCGCAAAGGUCAGCUUACUCCGGAUGGAAAUCGGAGAGGAAGUGCAAACGCAAAAGCUGGCUUAACUGCGAGGAUGACUAUCCGAGCUCAGGUACCAGUCGGUACCUGAUGGAGUACUGUAUAGUACUCUAAGAUGCGAAAGCAGGCGUUAGUGAUCCCCCGUCUCACAGUGAUUGUGGGCGGGGCUUAACGGAUAAAAGCUACUCCGGGGAUAACAGGCUAGUCGCGUCCGAGAGUUCAUAUCGACGACGCGGAUCGGCACCUCGAUGUCGGCUCAUCGCAUCCUGGGGCUGGAGUCGGUCCCAAGGGUCGGGCUGUUCGCCCGUUAAAGCGGUACGCGAGCUGGGUUCAGAACGUCGUGAGACAGUUCGGUCUCUAUCCGGUGUAAGCGCUUGGAUUUUUGAGGGGGCUCUUCCACAGUACGAGAGGACCUGGAAGAAAAAAUCCCUGGUGUACCAGUUGUCCCAAAAGGGCAUUGCUGGGUAGCUAUAUUUUUAUUCGAUAAACACUGAAUGCAUCUCAAGUGUGAAGCGAACCCCAAGAUUAGAAAUCCAUAUCAGUUCACCAGUAGAUGACUGGUUAUAUAGGCGUUAGGUGGAGUCACGAGCAAUCGUGAUUAGCCAAGACGUACUAAUGAACGAUCUCCCAUCUCUU